GAAAGUUAUGAAAGUUUCUCAGUUGAAAUGCCAAGAAGGAGCUAAUCUAAUCCUAAGACAUUAAUCAGGUAUUUAAAGUUAUGAAAGUUCCUCAGUUGAAAUUAGAAAGAAGGAGCUAAUCUAAUCCUGAGACAUCAAUCAGGUGUGAAAAGUUAUGAAAGGGACUUAGUUGAAAUCCAAAGAAGGAGCUAAACUAAUCUGAAGGUAUUAAUCAGGUGUGUAUAUUUUUGUUUGUCUUUCAUAUUUUCAAGUUUUUUUUUUAUUUAAUAACCACUUUCUGUUCAUAUUUAAAUGUGUUCUAAUGUAAGGGAGCAGAAAAAAGUAACAUGAAUUAUGAAUUGGACCUUUGUUCCUGAAUUCAAAAAAUGUGUCUUGAUACAACAAAUCAUGAACUUAUUCUAUAAAAUCAAUGUUCUUUGCU
Molecule: long non-coding RNA, 421 nt
Organism: Argiope bruennichi
Lineage: Eukaryota; Metazoa; Arthropoda; Arachnida; Araneae; Araneidae
Exons: 3
Source: RefSeq, a predicted model, not a curated record